RNAcentral lists this ribosomal RNA (374 nucleotides) under uncultured Alphaproteobacteria bacterium. Its description in RNAcentral is "bacterial SSU rRNA". It matches the Rfam family "Bacterial small subunit ribosomal RNA", at positions 521 to 896 of the family's 1533-position model. The record is from RNAcentral. Lineage: Bacteria; Pseudomonadati; Pseudomonadota; Alphaproteobacteria.
UAAUACGAAGGGACCUAGCGUAGUUCGGAAUUACUGGGCUUAAAGAGUUCGUAGGUGGUUAAAAUAGUUGGUGGUGAAAUCCCAGAGCUUAACUCUGGAACUGCCAUCAAAACUUUUUAGCUAGAGUAUGAUAGAGGAAAGCAGAAUUUCUAGUGUAGAGGUGAAAUUCGUAGAUAUUAGAAAGAAUACCAAUUGCGAAGGCAGCUUUCUGGAUCAUUACUGACACUGAGGAACGAAAGCAUGGGUAGCGAAGAGGAUUAGAUACCCUCGUAGUCCAUGCCGUAAACGAUGUGUGUUAGACGUUGGAAAUUUAUUUUUCAGUGUCGCAGCGAAAGCGAUAAACACACCGCCUGGGGAGUACGACCGCAAGGUUA